Molecule: ribosomal RNA, 278 nt
Filed under: uncultured bacterium
Lineage: Bacteria
Description: partial 16S ribosomal RNA
Rfam family: Bacterial small subunit ribosomal RNA
Source: RNAcentral
AACGAACGCUGGCGGCAGGCUUAACACAUGCAAGUCGAACGAUCCCUUCGGGGAUAGUGGCAGACGGGUGAGUAACACGUGGGAACGUACCUUUCAGUCGGGAAUAACUCAUGGAAACGUGAGCUAAUACCGGAUACGCCCUUUUGGGGAAAGAUUUAUCGCUGAAAGAUCGGCCCGCGUCUGAUUAGCUAGUUGGUGGGGUAAUGGCCUACCAAGGCGACGAUCAGUAGCUGGUCUGAGAGGAUGAUCAGCCACACUGGGACUGAGACACGGCCCAG